GUCAGUGUGGCAUAGUGGUUUGAGUAUUAGACUACAACUCUGAAGACCAGGGUUUGAUUCCCCACUCAACCA
This 72-nucleotide transfer RNA is filed under the name Phrynosoma platyrhinos (Desert horned lizard). RNAcentral's name for it is "tRNA-OTHER". The record is from RNAcentral. Lineage: Eukaryota; Metazoa; Chordata; Lepidosauria; Squamata; Phrynosomatidae.